UUUUUGUUUGUUUUUAAAGAAAUACUCCUUGUUAAAAGGCAGCUGAGCUAGCAAUCCCUAUAGGUCACUUAGGACACCUUAAAUAUUCUAGUUACCUGUUCCAGGAUUUAAAUGUUUUUUGCUGUGACUUUAAAAGAAAAAAAAAAAACAAAACACCUCCACCAUCUUGACCCUAAAUUCAGAAACCAGAUGGAACAUUCUUAUUGCUCUUUUCCCCUCCCAAGUAUCCUGGGAACCCCCCAAACCGUAAUAUACUAAAAUGGCUAAAUGCUAGGCUGGCUUUGAAGCAAAGUAAGGGUGCGGCUCUCGUCUACAGAGGG
Molecule: long non-coding RNA, 320 nt
Filed under: Bos taurus (domestic cattle)
Lineage: Eukaryota; Metazoa; Chordata; Mammalia; Artiodactyla; Bovidae
Description: long non-coding RNA NONBTAT007471
Source: RNAcentral